AUCCCAUCGUAUUUACUUGUGGAAUGUUUCAUGAAGAAUGUGCAAGUUAAUGAAUUGUCUGAAAGGUGGGAAGCCGAGAAGUGACUGUUGAGAAUAAGAUUGAUGGCAAAGAAGGGCAGGCACCAGGCGGAAGUUCUGGGGGCGGCCACACUGUCUGCUCCCCCUGCCAGGCCAAGGCUGACCCUGUCCACCCAGCUCCAGCCCGUGAUCUGGGAUGUGGAACACUGCGAACUUGGUGAGGGGGAGUGUCUGUCCCUUGGAAUUUGGCUCAAGUGUGGCAGGAAGGACAGCUGGCCUUCCAGGGCCACAAUCCCAGGACUCGUGGUGGAGGUUCCGGGGGGUAGGACGCAGCCCCGUCUUCUGAAUCGGCCCAUUCGUCUGUCAUGGAUGGCUCCAGAUAAGUGUGGGUUUUCUUCACUUUAUUAAAUACAAAAAUAACAGGAAGAUUCUGGAAAACAGCUCUUGAUGGACGAGCCAAAUGUAGGUGAUUAAACUUCCUAGAUUUUUAAAUCUAAGUAUUUUUUUAGAUAAAAACUUGACAGUGAGUCCACCUAUAAAUACAAUUAAUUUCACUAAUACUAGGAAUAUUUCUGGUUUGGAAAAAGACUCAUAUCUAAUAUUUUUGGUCAUCAUUUGGAAAUAUUGCUGAAGCCCAAGAUAAACUCUGUAUUUUUCCAUAUUCUGGUCAACAAAUAUGCAAUGUCAUCUAUGUCCCAGGAGUGGGCUGCAUGUUGUGGUGGGCAAAAUAUUAUUAUUGACAAAAUAUCUGUGCUUCCUGGAGCCCUCUUUCCUUAGAUCUUUGCUCAGCUUGUUCCCUCACUUCCUUCUGCCCGCAGCUCAAAGGCCCCUUCUCAGAGGGGUUUCCCCACCAUCUGACUUAAAAUGGAGCCAACCUGCAUUAUUCUCUAGUCACUCAUCUGCUCUGUUUUUCUUCAUGAUACUUCCACUACUUGUCGUGUGUGUAUAUAUACAUAUACAUAUACACACACACCCAUAUGUGUAUAUAUUUGUUGUUGGUUAUUUGUCUCCCACACCAGGGUGUCUUUUUCUUUCAGGGAUCUUCAGGUUUGUUAGAUUAGGUUUGUUCUUCUUUCUCUCUCUCUAAAAUAUCUUCUGAAUGAUCAUCUUCUCCAGAGGUGAGGUCCUGAUGAUAUCGCCAUCACCACCAUCACCAUCACCAUCAUCAUCAUCAUCCUCAUCAUUACCAUUAUCCUUACAUGUAGAUCAUGGUGUCCUAAAAUAAAAUAGCUGGAAAUAUAAACCUAAGAUUUAGGGAGGAGGUAAGUCUGAAAAUAAAGAUCUAUGUGUGAUAGUCACUCAUGGCUAAAGCCAGGAAAAUGUGUGAGGUCCGUAAGGAAAAAAUAAAAAUAAAGAAGAGUUCAUAGUAUUAGUAGGUGAUAAAGCUCCUGUAGGAAUGAAGGGAAGGCAGCCAGGUACAGGUUCAGACAUAGAGCUGCCGGGGACGGGGCAUUAAUUGCUGGGGUGAGAGGGAGGCAAGUGUGGACCUUGAAGAGGCCCGUCCUUGUUGAUGGGGAGGGUGGGGCUUCUGUGGUGUGGUGCAGAUGGAAUUCUGAUUGCAGAGCAUGCCCGUCACAGCCCAGACGUGGGACGAUGUCUACCACUCAGCUGCCUUUACCCCUCAGUGGAGCCCAUGGAGGUCAUGCCCUUUGCUGGACAUCUGCUGGGUUUGUAAUUAAGCAAAAUAAGAAGCUCCUUCUGAAAUGUUGUUGGAGAACUAGGAUUUAACCCUGCACUAUUAAUAGAAAGUGUUUAGAAGCCACUUGAAUCAGUUCUGUAUUUUAAAUGGUCUCUUGGAAGGAAGGUGUCAUUGGGGAGUUCCACCUUAUUUCUUUUAUCAUAGUGCUACUUUAGGAAAUGACAAAGAAGCAUCUGUUAUAAUGUAAGAUUGCAGAGGAGAAAAAAUAGUGAACUCAUUGCAGGAACUAUUGUGAUGAGCUUAUAAUGUCACUGAAAUAUUUUCUUAUUAAAAUAAUUACAAGGCAAAUAGACAAGUGACUAUAAUAUAAAAUGUCUGGCAUCAGUAAGGCAGUUUAUUGUUUUUAGAUAAAUUCUAGAUUAUAUAACUGAGUUGCUAUAUUGGAAAAUGCUUCUCAAGGGCAGGGCCCUGUGUAUGUAUCCAGUACCGUCCACUAUGACGGGCACAGUGAUGACAAAUGUGGGGAGCAGGAGGCAAAGGAAGGAGAGGGGAGGAGGAAAAAAGACAUUGUGGCAGUGUCUCCAGGAUACCUGAAAUUUGUUUAAAUGUCCUGUACUGGAUCAAUUCCAUCUGAAGACUUGGAAAGAAGUUAUAGAUGAGAGCAUUGUUGGUGACAUUAGAGGGAUUGGAAAAAUCGAGAAAGUGCCAAGAAAUAGACAAAUGUUGCUCUUGUUUUCAAAAAUAAUAAGUUGGUAGAUUCACAUAGUACAUACUGGUUUGCUUGAGCAGUCUUCUGCAAGACGUUAUUAAAGAGAUCGUCUGAGAGUCCAGGGAAGAGAAAGCAAUUCUCUGAGAACAAUGUCGGUGGGCCCCUCCAUGUCGUCACCUCUUAGCCUUGUGCUGACAUAUAAUUGUCAUUCUGGAAAUGUCUGUUGAAUGCCUAAAAAUUAUUGAAACAAGCAUUGUGAAUCUAACUGCAUUUUCUCCUUUGAAAGCUUUAAAAAACUAAUCCAUGAGAAAAUUGAGAGAGAAAUUAAAUAUCCGGACUACAGCAAAGUAUGUGACCAGUUAUUCUUGCAGAAAAAUGGAAAAUAUGAGCUGGACAUUGGUAUGAAUGAGAAGACCUCUUCAUGAGUUAUUAUUUGUUUAUUCAAAAGGCACCUUUAUCAAAUCCAUAUGCUGCACAGAAUGAGCCACUUUUCAUCUGAACGCAAGACUACCGAGACUUACACUCGCGGAUGAAGGAGACGAUUUGAAUGGGUUCCAGGUUUCCUGCUCCUCUUUGCUGUUAAAGGGAGCAGGAGAUGGCCACAUCAAGCAGAAGUGGCUGUCACGGUGCCUGAGCACAGGCUGACCACAGACCUGAGAGAACAGCCUCGGCCCGGUCAUCAUCUCCGACUUUCUCCUGCAAUGAGGAACCACAGCGACCGCUCGCCAUUCAUCACCGUGCCCUUCCCACACACCCAGCACCUUCCAAACGGGCUGGCCUGGAGAUCUGCAAACAUCUGCUUCUUUUCUCUUUCCCUCUGCAAACUCCCCAUUCAGGUAGACUUUAAUGACUGAGAGAGAGGUAAAAUCCUUCUAUAGAAAUGACAACGGACGCUUGUUUUCUUUUAAAUGUAAUGUUAGGAUUUCACUUUUAUGAAUAAGGCAGCAAAAUGGCACAACUGUAUGCACGUGUGCACAGACAGCAGGUUGUUGGGACUUGCAAUCGAUGUUAAAAGUUUAGUUUAUGCCUAUCAAAGUCAUCUUUGACCCUUAAUGGAGUGGAGGGCUCCUACAGUACUAAAGUUCAUUGGUCUUGCAUAUUUUAAUGGAUAAUGCUAUUGUUUGUGGAUUCGGGGUGUUCUCCUUGCCUCUCAGACAGGAUGUUCCCAGCCUGUUUCCUUUGGGGGUUUAAGUUGUUCUGGGACAGUCUACAGAAUGUUCGACUGCUGCUAAUGCGUGUUGUGAGACCUAUAGAUGACAGUGAGAAAACAUCCAGGUCAAUAGAUCUUGGCUUGCUCAUUCAGUCAGGUAUUUAUUAUUCUUCUUUGCAUGAAAAUUUUUGACUCUGGCAGACUCUGUAGCUCCCCACAGUAAUAAAAGUGCGCCUCGGGGUGGCUAAUCCUAAACAGUGGCUAAUCCUCAAGCUAUUUGCAUUUGUUUUGGGAAUGCACAUUUGUACCUGCAUUAUAACAGGGCCAAGAUUACUACCGAACAAAUAACAAAGCUGGGUAUGGCCAGACUGUUUCUGAAAGCGACAACAAUCUGCUUUUUCAUUGUAUUUUCUCACUCAGACACUUUUUAUUGGCCUCAUCAUGGCAUUUAACUCUUUUGGAUCAGAUCUUUUCCAGAGCAAGGUGAUCUGUGAUGAGCCGAUCACCUCAUUGCAUCCUGUCCAUCACAACUGAGAUGCAGGGCAUGAACACUGAUGGAGAGAGAGGAAAUACACAUCUUUAAUGACCUCUUGGUCAGGAGCACUGCCUCGGGGUCAGAACCAAGUUCAAAUCUCUUUCUUGCCAUUUCCAACCUAGCCAUGAUUUUAGACAAGUUAAUUUCCCUCUCUGAACCUCAGUCUCCUUAACUGAGCACAAAUUCCCGCCCCAUAAGGGUAAUAACAGUGAGUAUUAGGUAGUAUGGUGGUCGUAACGUAGGUAGCACCAGUAUUGCCAUAUAGUAAGGGCUUAGCAAGUGAUAGCUGCUAAUUUUACUUUGCAAACCGGCUUCCUGACUGCAGCAAAUCUGCAGAUGACAAAAAACUCUCAUGCUGAUGUGAAGAUUUCUUUCCAAGAAAAUUGUAUUAUUUCAACCAUGCUCAUUUCUCUCACCAAGCCAAAAAAUUAGCAUAUUUCUCUAGAAGCUAGGGAGAAAGGACUACUUUUGUGUGUGUGUGUGUGUGUUUUUGUGUGAGGAAGAUUGUCACUGAGCUAACAUCUGUGCCAGUCUUCCUCCAUUUUAUGUGGGAUGCCACCACAGCACGGCUUGAUGAGCAGUGCUAGGUCCACGCCCGGGAUCCAGACCUGCAAACCCUGAGCCACCGAAGCGGAACAUUCGAACUUAACCACUACGCCACUGGGCCGGCCCCAAAGGACUACUUUUUAAAAUAUUCUUUUAACUAACAAAAUGCAGAGAUGAUAUUCUUUCUGCGUUGUUUCAUGGCAGGGACACAUUCUGAGAAAUGCAUUGUUAGGCGAUUUUGUCAUUGUGCAAACAUCAUGGAGUGCACUUACACAAACCUACAUGGUAAAGCCUACUACACACCUGGGCUAUAUGGUACUAAUCUUAUGGGACCCUCAUUAUACAUGCGGUCCAUUGGUGACUGAAAAGUCGUUAUUCGGCCCAUAACUGUAUAAUAUGAUAUUAUUUGCUGUCACAGGAGUUUUGAAAACAUAGCUACAUUAUAUACAUAUAAUUUGUUUACAAGGUUCUGGGUGGACCAUCAGGCAGAAAGACAGAAAAAGUUUUUGAGUAAAGAGAGGAACAGGAUUGAGAAAUGGGAAAUAAGGAAUAUCGCAUGAAAGAGUAGAAGCAGAUUGUGAGUAAACAUCUGAAGAAGAAAGUAAGAGGAAUGACAUUAAACGUGUCAGUGCUCCUGUAUUUUGAAGGAGGUGUAAAUUGGAUCAAGUGCUGUAAAUGUUCACAGGCCAUACCCCCUUUGGAUCUUCUCACCUCUUCCCUCCUUCUCACCACCUGCGUCCAUCAGCUCUGUCACUUUAUGUAUGAGAGAGAGAUUCCCACAUUCACUCCAGAGGUUCCAGGAAGAGCAGACAGCUUAAAAACAUAAAAUUUUAAAAAUGCAGCUAUUUCUUCAUCGAACACUCCUCUCAAGCAGACACAUUUUAAACAAUGCUCGAAGUUUCAGAAGGGAGUUAAGAUACAUGAGAGAAAAAUCCUUUCUGAAGUUUGAAGCUGCCUCGGGUGCACAAACGUGCACCUUCCUAGGAGAGAGACCAUUUUUGGAAGAAGAUAACAAUAACACAUCUGUCUUUUCAAAACCACAGCGCAGCUCGAGUACCAGAUUAAGGGAGAUUUGUAAACUCUGUUUCUGAAAAAGUACAGCCUCUUCCUUGGUUUUAUUGGUCGAGGAAUUCCAGCGAGACGGCAGCAGUCUGGUUCUUGGCAGACUUCUGCGGGAGCUGAUGAACGUCUUUUCUAGGUUAAAGUCUCCUCUUUUUUUGAGGAAGAUCAGCCCUGAGCUAACAUCUGCCCCCAAUCCUCCUCUUUUUUGCUGAGGAAGACUGGCCCUGAGCUAACUUCUGUGCCCAUCUUCCUCUACUUUAUAUGUGGGACGCCUACCACAGCAUGGCGUGCCAAGCGGUGCCUUGUCCGGACCCAGAAUCCAAACCAGCAAACCCCAGGCUGCCGAAGCAGAAUGUGCACACUUAACCGCUGCGCCACUGGGCCGGCCCUAAAUUCUACUUUUUAAAAGUCACGCUGUGAAGUGAGCUUGAGUUGAUAGAUCUGUUGGGCCACUGUUUGCAUACUGAAGUAUGGCAGCCUUCAACAGGCUACCUAUUGGCUAAAGCAACGAGCCAGAUGAAGACCUCAGUACAGUCAUCUCAGCUAUUGGAACAAUGUAAUUUGGCAAAUGAAAAAAAGAAAGCAUAUGUUGAUCAUGCAAUGCAAACAGAAGAUGCCCCUUUAUUAUAGGAGAUCACAAAGUCGUGAAUGGUAUGUCUUCUUAUAAGGUGAUGACGCAGUAAUUCAACGACAUUCUUAAAACUUCCAGUAAAUUUCCACCAUUUCAGAUCCUAUUGAGGCCAUUAAAUCAAGACUGAUUUGGACACGAAUAUCUCUCUUCUACAGAAACAUAUAAAUGGGAUCAGAUGAUUUGGGUAAGUGGCAACUAUUAAUUUUAUUGAAAAGACCUCCCUCAAUUGAUGUUUCUUGUUUGAAAGGCUAGCCCAUCUCUAAAGGGUUAACUGGCGUCCCAUUAAUGGGACACACUAUCACAAGACAAAGUAAUACAGUUUAACGCCCCCUGCUUUGAAUUCAGAGUUCAUGCAUAGUCUAGACUAAAGGCCAAACAAAUGUGCAACACUCCAUGCAUGUCUAUGGAGGAACAUUUUUGCUGAAGGAUAUGUAAAUAUUGCACUAAUCAGAGGUUCUGAAAUUCCAAAUGCCGUAAAAGGUUACGACCCGAAGCCCUGUUAAUAUAUGAGCGAGGGCGUAGACCAAACCCUUUUGAAUGACAGCUAACAUGGGGUGUUUUGCAUGAAAAAUAACCUCUAAUAAAUGACCUCUGCUUUUCUCUUUUCAAUUCUGUGACAGUAAUGAAUGAGAAAGGGGGAGCUUCCUACACAUCCAGUGUUAUUUACACCGAAACAUGAAAGUCCUGCCUGAGUGUUGGCUCCCAUUCAGGAAGAUGGAACAGUAGACAAUUUAUCGCAGAGAAUGAUAAUUUCUUUUUCCCUUUUGGGCUUCCCAAAGAACUCCAAGUAGAAGAGCAAAAAAACCUAAACACAUGCAAAGUUGUUAAAACAAGUGUUUCAUUUCCUAAAGAAUCCUUUCCGUUAGAGGGUGUAUAUGGAAUCUCCUGGAAUGCUGAUGAAACCUUUCUUGCUCAGAGAGCCCAUGACGUUUAGCCUGUCAGGUCUGUGUCUCUUCCAGAGAUGAGCAUGUUUUAGCAGCUUAGAAUCUCUGCCAAGAGAUUAAAUUUUCCUUGGGGCUGCUUUCACAUGAGCAGAAAGUUCUGUUCUUUUCCCGGAUUUCAGCUGAUCAAAAAAACAACAUAUCCCCUUAAAGAACGGCAAUCUCCUUCUCCUCUUCUCACAGCAGGAAAGUGUCUUUCCAUGUUGUAAUUUUUAAAUCUAGUAAAAGAUCUACUCUAUCAGCCUCUCGUUGCUCAAAACAGCUGACCAGUGCUUCGCUCGGUCUCUCCAGGUUUGAGGGUGCGUCUCUCCCAUGGGCCUUGGUCACGUUCAGAGCUUUCUGAAGAAAUAUCUCAUGGUGUUUGGCUUAACUUUUUCUUUACAAAAUUUAGAUCAGACUACUACCAGUUAUAUCCCUUUGAAUUUUAGUUCACGGCUUUUCUCCAAAUCUAAUGUUUGAGCUCCUCUGAUGUUUUCGGAUGCUUGUCUGGCUGUACGUUUUCACUUUCUCCCCCUAUAAACACUUCCCUGUUCUGCUGGGCAUCUCUGAGUCUUCCUCAGCUCUGCCCUCUCUCUGAUGCUGAGAUUUACUGUACGCUUUUCACUGAUACACGCUUGUUCUCUUUGAGCUGCCCUUGUGCUUGUUAAAAUGUUACCACUUGAAAUUAAACAUCCUUCUUUUAUGUAUUUAGAAGAACAUCAUAUAUGGUUUUCCUUGCCUGAAACCUCCCCUCCAGGCAUGAGAUCUGUGACUCGGUGUGGAGGAGAAUACAUUGGAGGUGGCAGUGAUGGGGCACUGCGGGAUCAGGGUGGCGACAUGAGGCCUCUUGGAUUUGGAUGUAAACCGUGAC
Long non-coding RNA from Equus caballus (horse), 8081 nucleotides. NCBI's taxonomy places the organism in Eukaryota, Metazoa, Chordata, Mammalia, Perissodactyla, Equidae. The record is from Ensembl.